RNAcentral lists this transfer RNA (65 nucleotides) under Pherusa bengalensis. RNAcentral describes it as "tRNA-Lys". It matches the Rfam family "tRNA". Rfam says of the family: Transfer RNA (tRNA) molecules are approximately 80 nucleotides in length. Their secondary structure includes four short double-helical elements and three loops (D, anti-codon, and T loops). Lineage: Eukaryota; Metazoa; Annelida; Polychaeta; Terebellida; Flabelligeridae. The record is from RNAcentral.
CAUUAAAAAGCUUUAAGAAGCAUCGAACUUUUAAUUCGAAGAUAUGGCAUCAUCCAUUUUAAUGA